This 559-nucleotide non-coding RNA is filed under the name Pongo abelii (Sumatran orangutan). The record is from RNAcentral. Lineage: Eukaryota; Metazoa; Chordata; Mammalia; Primates; Hominidae.
AGAAGUCCCAGCCGUGCACACUUGCACCAACGUAGGCAAACCUGUUCACACUCGGGGCAUGCACAACCCUGUAUGUGAGGACAAAGGAAAACUCAAGGAUGAACACACCUGCACACUAGUAAAACCAGUUGCACCAUUCCCAGAACCCCCAAGGCAGGGGUCUGUACACUCCCCACUCAGUACCUGGGUGCAGGCUCUCCAGAGUUUCCCUCUUACCACCCACCUGCCUCCCUCCCCAGCUCAGUCCCCUAAGUUCCCAGUUCCCUGCAAAAGGCUGAAGGAGCCACCACUGGCUGCUCACAGCCUCAGGGCAGGGGACCCCGCCAGGCUCAGGGCUUCCUCCGGCAGCCUCCUCCCCGCCUGCUCACAGCACUGGCCUCGGCGCGCACGUCCAGGAAGCAGCUACUCUGCGCUGGGGGGCCAACUUCAGACCUGGGGGAGAGCAGGGACGGGGUGGGCCCUUCUGCCUCGGGCCUCGCAAGCGUCCGUCGGGGCCGUAGAGGCCGCUGGCGGCCCUCAGGCCUUGGUGCCCCGUGGCAGGAUUCAUAGAGCAGCCGGU